GGGGAAUAUUGCGCAAUGGGCGAAAGCCUGACGCAGCAACGCCGCGUGCGGGAUGACGGCCUUCGGGUUGUAAACCGCUUUCAGCAGGGACGAAGGGUUCCUACGGGAACUGCAGAAGAAGGACCCGCUUAACUAGGGGCAGCAGCCGCGGUGAUACGUAGGGUGCGAGCGUUGUCCGGAAUUAUUGGGCGUAAAGAGCUUGUAGGCGGUCCGUUGCGUCGGAAGUGAAAACUCGGGGCUUAACCCCGAGCCUGCUUUCGAUACGGGCGGACUUGAGGGAUGUAGGGGAGAACGGAAUUCCUGGUGGAGCGGUGGAAUGCGCAGAUAUCAGGAGGAACACCAGUGGCGAAGGCGGUUCUCUGGACAUUUCUUGACGCUGAGAAGCGAAAGCGUGGGGAGCAAACA
RNAcentral lists this ribosomal RNA (405 nucleotides) under uncultured Propionicimonas sp. RNAcentral describes it as "bacterial SSU rRNA". It matches the Rfam family "Bacterial small subunit ribosomal RNA", at positions 356 to 774 of the family's 1533-position model. The record is from RNAcentral. Lineage: Bacteria; Bacillati; Actinomycetota; Actinomycetes; Propionibacteriales; Nocardioidaceae.